UUAAUGAGAGUUUGAUCCUGGCUCAGGACGAACGCUGGCGGCGUGCCUAAUACAUGCAAGUAGAACGCUGAAGAGAGGAGCUUGCUCUUCUUGGAUGAGUUGCGAACGGGUGAGUAACGCGUAGGUAACCUGCCUGGUAGCGGGGGAUAACUAUUGGAAACGAUAGCUAAUACCGCAUAAAAUUGAUUAUUGCAUGAUAAUUAAUUGAAAGAUGCAAUUGCAUCACUACCAGAUGGACCUGCGUUGUAUUAGCUAGUUGGUGAGGUAACGGCUCACCAAGGCGACGAUACAUAGCCGACCUGAGAGGGUGAUCGGCC
Molecule: ribosomal RNA, 317 nt
Filed under: Streptococcus salivarius
Lineage: Bacteria; Bacillati; Bacillota; Bacilli; Lactobacillales; Streptococcaceae
Description: bacterial SSU rRNA
Rfam family: Bacterial small subunit ribosomal RNA
Source: RNAcentral